Molecule: ribosomal RNA, 497 nt
Filed under: uncultured bacterium
Lineage: Bacteria
Description: partial 16S ribosomal RNA
Rfam family: Bacterial small subunit ribosomal RNA
Source: RNAcentral
GAUGAACGCUGGCGGCGUGCCUAAUACAUGCAAGUCGAGCGAACAGACGAGGAGCUUGCUCCUCUGACGUUAGCGGCGGACGGGUGAGUAACACGUGGAUAACCUACCUAUAAGACUGGGAUAACUUCGGGAAACCGGAGCUAAUACCGGAUAAUAUAUUGAACCGCAUGGUUCAAUAGUGAAAGACGGUUUUGCUGUCACUUAUAGAUGGAUCCGCGCCGCAUUAGCUAGUUGGUAAGGUAACGGCUUACCAAGGCAACGAUGCGUAGCCGACCUGAGAGGGGGAUCGGCCACACUGGAACUGAGACACGGUCCAGACUCCUACGGGAGGCAGCAGUAGGGAAUCUUCCGCAAUGGGCGAAAGCCUGACGGAGCAACGCCGCGUGAGUGAUGAAGGUCUUCGGAUCGUAAAACUCUGUUAUUAGGGAAGAACAAAUGUGUAAGUAACUAUGCACGUCUUGACGGUACCUGAACAGAAAGCCACGGCUAACUACGUG